AGACUCCCACCGCCCAGAGGGCGUCCCCUGCAGGAGAGCUUCAUGCGCCUGGUGGAGGCCUGUGGGGACUCGGAGCAAAGCAUGGACAACUGGCUGAGUCGGCUGGACGGCUGCCGCUGACUGUAACAUGUAAAGCAGGCACUGAGCACCACCUGCCUGGCAGUCCAGGGCAUGGAGAGAUGCCGUGUGAAGGGAGGACUCAGAUGCACUCCCUGUGGUCUGGGCUCAACCAGCCAAAAGAGCAACAAAGACUCCAGAACCCACUCUACCUCCUCAAUCCCUUGGCCAUCUGUGGAGCCCCAGAGCCUGCGGCUGUGGCAAGGCCUGUUUCUGCGCUGGACCUGCUCACCUGAGCCUGCAGAAGCUGCAUGGGGGAAGAGUGUGGCAAAUAGUGACAGGAAGGGAGAAGACAGAAGCCUCUCAGCCAACUGCUUCAGCCGAGCCCCUAUUCUAAGCACUGGCUCCUUGGAUAGCAGCUGAGAUGUUCCUGAAACCUCUGCAGGCCCCUUAGGACCUUUACACCUUGGAUGAGGGUGCCUGCAACCCAGGUUAGCCAAAAGUACUGAGGGUCUUAAGUUUGAAGUGUCCAAAGUAUAGGGAGGUCUCAAUAAUAAAAGUCUCC
RNAcentral lists this long non-coding RNA (622 nucleotides) under Homo sapiens (human). RNAcentral's name for it is "non-protein coding lnc-TMEM234-3:9". Lineage: Eukaryota; Metazoa; Chordata; Mammalia; Primates; Hominidae. The record is from RNAcentral.